GUGCUCGCUUCGGCAGCACAUAUACUAAAAUUGGAACAAUCCAGAGAAGAUUGGCAUGGCCCCUGUGCAAGAAUGACAUGCAAAGUCGUGAGGCAUCCCAUAUUUUA
This 107-nucleotide small nuclear RNA is filed under the name Vulpes vulpes (red fox). Lineage: Eukaryota; Metazoa; Chordata; Mammalia; Carnivora; Canidae. The record is from RNAcentral.